UACGAAGGGGGCUAGCGUUGCUCGGAAUCACUGGGCGUAAAGCGCACGUAGGCGGCUUUCUAAGUCAGGGGUGAAAUUCUGGAGCUCAACUCCAGAACUGCCUUUGAUACUGGAGAGCUUGAGUCCGGAAGAGGUGAGUGGAACUCCGAGUGUAGAGGUGAAAUUCGUAGAUAUUCGGAAGAACACCAGUGGCGAAGGCGGCUCACUGGUCCGGUACUGACGCUGAUGUGCGAAAGCGUGGGGAGCAAACGGG
This 253-nucleotide ribosomal RNA is filed under the name uncultured bacterium. Its description in RNAcentral is "partial 16S ribosomal RNA". It matches the Rfam family "Bacterial small subunit ribosomal RNA", at positions 524 to 776 of the family's 1533-position model. The record is from RNAcentral.